UCGGCAAUGGGCGAAAGCCUGACCGAGCGAUGCCGCGUGCGGGAUGAAGGUCUUCGGAUUGUAAACCGCUGUCGGAGGGGAUGAAGUGUAUGGGAGCAAUCUCCUGUAUUUGACAGAGCCUCGGAGGAAGCACGGGCUAAGUUCGUGCCAGCAGCCGCGGUAAUACGAACUGUGCAAACGUUAUUCGGAAUCACUGGGCUUACAGGGUGCGUAGGCGGCAUUUUAAGUCAGGUGUGAAGUCCCCCGGCUCAACCGGGGAACUGCGCCUGAGACUGGAUUGCUCGAGUGAGGCAGGGGUGUACGGAACUUCCGGUGGAGCGGUGAAAUGUGUAGAUAUCGGAAGGAACGCCAGCAGCGAAAGCGGUACACUGGGCCUUGUCUGACGCUGAGGCACGAAAGCCAGGGUAGCGAACGGGAUUAGAUACCCCGGUAGUCCUGGCCGUAAACACUGAACACUGGAGGGGAGGGGGUUCGCCCUUUUCCUUCGUAGCGAAAGCGUUAAGUGUUCCGCCUGGGGAGUAUGGUCGCAAGGCUGAAACUCAAAGG
This 546-nucleotide ribosomal RNA is filed under the name uncultured Planctomycetota bacterium. RNAcentral's name for it is "bacterial SSU rRNA". It matches the Rfam family "Bacterial small subunit ribosomal RNA", at positions 365 to 907 of the family's 1533-position model. Lineage: Bacteria; Pseudomonadati; Planctomycetota. The record is from RNAcentral.